This 489-nucleotide ribosomal RNA is filed under the name uncultured bacterium. RNAcentral describes it as "bacterial SSU rRNA". It matches the Rfam family "Bacterial small subunit ribosomal RNA", at positions 28 to 511 of the family's 1533-position model. The record is from RNAcentral.
GAUGAACGCUAGCGGCAGGCUUAACACAUGCAAGUCGAGGGGCAGCAUGAUGUAGCAAUACAUUGAUGGCGACCGGCGCAAGGGUGCGUAACGCGUGAGUAACAUGCCCGUAUCAGGGGGAUAACCCGAAGAAAUUCGGACUAAUACCCCAUAGUAAUUUGUGGAGGCAUCUCUAUGAAUUUAAAGCUCCGGCGGAUACGGAUUGACUCGCGUGACAUUAGCUAGAUGGUAAGGUAACGGCUUACCAUGGCGACGAUGUCUAGGGGAACUGAGAGGAAGGUCCCCCACACUGGAACUGAGACACGGUCCAGACUCCUACGGGAGGCAGCAGUGAGGAAUAUUGGUCAAUGGGCGAGAGCCUGAACCAGCCAAGUAGCGUGAAGGAAGACUGCCCUAUGGGUUGUAAACUUCUUUGUUCGGGAAUAAAGUGCAGUACGCGUACUGUUUUGUAUGUACCGUUCGAAUAAGCAUCGGCUAAUUCCGUGCCAG